This 309-nucleotide long non-coding RNA is filed under the name Citrus maxima (pomelo). RNAcentral's name for it is "long non-coding RNA (CMAX_LNC003576)". Lineage: Eukaryota; Viridiplantae; Streptophyta; Magnoliopsida; Sapindales; Rutaceae. The record is from RNAcentral.
UAAGUUUCCAAGAACAGGGAGUAGGAUUCUGGUGGUCCACGAUUCAUUAGAAAAGAUAUGUUACUGGCCAGUCAGAACUCAGAAUCCUGUGUCAGUCCACGAAAGCAGACCUUCCACUCUUCCAGAUUCUUCCGGCGGCUCUAAGUCUUCUGAUUGGUGUGUGCUUAACUUAGCCUAAACCUCCUUACUCUACCUGAUUAUACCCAGCAGCCCACAUGUCGCCACGUCAUCACAUCAUGAUGAGGUUAGCGGUAGUCGCCUUCCCUCUGUUCAAGAAGGAUGCUUUCAGCCCUUUCAAGUUUUCAAGCU